UUGAACGCUGGCGGCAGGCCUAACACAUGCAAGUCGAGCGGAUGAAGGGAGCUUGCUCCUGGAUUCAGCGGCGGACGGGUGAGUAAUGCCUAGGAAUCUGCCUGGUAGUGGGGGAUAACGUCCGGAAACGGGCGCUAAUACCGCAUACGUCCUGAGGGAGAAAGUGGGGGAUCUUCGGACCUCACGCUAUCAGAUGAGCCUAGGUCGGAUUAGCUAGUUGGUGGGGUAAAGGCCUACCAAGGCGACGAUCCGUAACUGGUCUGAGAGGAUGAUCAGUCACACUAGAACUGAGACACGGUCCAGACUCCUACGGGAGGCAGCAGUGGGGAAUAUUGGACAAUGGGCGAAAGCCUGAUCCAGCCAUGCCGCGUGUGUGAAGAAGGUCUUCGGAUUGUAAAGCACUUUAAGUUGGGAGGAAGGGCAGUAAGUUAAUACCUUGCUGUUUUGACGUUACCAACAGAAUAAGCACCGGCUAACUUCGUG
RNAcentral lists this ribosomal RNA (483 nucleotides) under uncultured bacterium. RNAcentral describes it as "partial 16S ribosomal RNA". It matches the Rfam family "Bacterial small subunit ribosomal RNA", at positions 30 to 507 of the family's 1533-position model. The record is from RNAcentral.